GACAACUCUAGAGAUAGAGCGUUCCCCUUCGGGGGACAAAGUGACAGGUGGUGCAUGGUUGUCGUCAGCUCGUGUCGUGAGAUGUUGGGUUAAGUCCCGCAACGAGCGCAACCCUUAAGCUUAGUUGCCAGCAUUAAGUUGGGCACUCUAAGUUGACUGCCGGUGACAAACCGGAGGAAGGUGGGGAUGACGUCAAAUCAUCAUGCCCCUUAUGAUUUGGGCUACACACGUGCUACAAUGGACAAUACAAAGGGCAGCUAAACCGCGAGGUCAUGCAAAUCCCAUAAAGUUGUUCUCAGUUCGGAUUGUAGUCUGCAACUCGACUACAUGAAGCUGGAAUCGCUAGUAAUCGUAGAUCAGCAUGCUACGGUGAAUACGUUCCCGGGUCUUGUACACACCGCCCGUCACACCACGAGAGUUUGUAACACCCGAAGCCGGUGGAGUAACCAUUUAUGGAGCUAGCCGUCGAAGGUGGGACAAAUGAUUGGGGUGAAGUCGUAACAAGGUAGCCGUAUCGGAAGGUGC
Molecule: ribosomal RNA, 525 nt
Filed under: uncultured bacterium
Lineage: Bacteria
Description: bacterial SSU rRNA
Rfam family: Bacterial small subunit ribosomal RNA
Source: RNAcentral